UUGGAAGAGGGGGUCAAACCCCGAUCAGCCAUGCCGCGUGAAGGAAGAAGGUCCUAUGGAUUGAAAACUGUUUUUAUA
RNAcentral lists this ribosomal RNA (78 nucleotides) under uncultured bacterium. RNAcentral's name for it is "partial 16S ribosomal RNA". The record is from RNAcentral.